AAUUGUGAAAUAUAUACAAUUUUUGAUAUUUUUUCGUUAUUUUUUUCCUGCAUGUGAUACAGUAUUUGAGUUUUUCUCUCAUUUUUUCUCAUAUUUAAAGCACAUGUCAUGAAUAUUGAAAAGAUUUUGUUUUACUGCUUUACUUUUUGCAAUAGAAUAAUCUAAGAUGUCCACUUGCCUAGCAUAUAGAUUCUUACCCAAAAAGCUUUGGUCUUUCAACCUGCCACUAAUUUAUAUCAUGAGACUUUUACUCAAUGGCUAUGUCUGAAUCAAGGAAAAAAUGAACAACAAAGGAGCACAGAAGUUGACCUGUAAAGUGUCACAAAAGCACAAAAGAAUCCAGAGACUGAAUUCCUUGUGGAAGAUGCCAUGGAGAUGUCCACGGAGACCGCAUAGUGCUCUAGGAGUUUCUGAGACAACCUGAAUGUGAAGAAUUGAACACUGGGGGGUUGAAUACAUUUGUUUAUAGGUACUUUGUUGUACCAAAGGGUACUGCCCCCUAAAUUGGUUUUGUUUUUGAUUUCCUUUUGUUUCAUCAUCCCCAAGUAUUUUCCCUGUGUAAAAUUUUAUGUACCUUAGUUAAUUAUGUUUAAAAUGGCCCACUGGGGAGACUGGUCUCCCAUAGGAUCACAGGGGAGAAUGUGCAGAUGAAAACUUUGCACCACCUGAGCUACAUUUCCAGCAUCCUUUUAAGUUACAUCCUCAUUUUACAUAAUGAUGCUUAGGAGAUAAAUUUGGCUAAGACCCAUGCUGCCAGGCUCUUUUUUCAGAGCUUGUGCUUUUGGUAAAGUGCUGCAGAUGUGAGUCUCUGUCUCUCUUUGCUAUGCUCACUUGACAAAAAAACAAAACAAAAAAAAAACUUUCUUUUCCCUCUUUUUUAUUAUUAUUAAAAAUCUUACUGUAUAUAUAUAUAUAUAUAUAUAUAUAUAUAUAUAUAUAUAUAUAUCUGUGGUAUAAUUUGAAGAUACAUUUUUCGGGUUCUUCUUUGUUGUGACAAAAAAAGGAAGCCAAAAAUCUUUGUUGGCAGAAAUAAUUUCUGCUUAAGC
Molecule: long non-coding RNA, 1046 nt
Filed under: Monodelphis domestica (gray short-tailed opossum)
Lineage: Eukaryota; Metazoa; Chordata; Mammalia; Didelphimorphia; Didelphidae
Description: lncRNA (ENSMODG00000039623.1)
Source: RNAcentral